RNAcentral lists this ribosomal RNA (484 nucleotides) under uncultured bacterium. RNAcentral describes it as "partial 16S ribosomal RNA". It matches the Rfam family "Bacterial small subunit ribosomal RNA", at positions 29 to 507 of the family's 1533-position model. The record is from RNAcentral.
AUUGAACGCUGGCGGCAUGCUUUACACAUGCAAGUCGAACGGCAGCGCGGGCUUCGGCCUGGCGGCGAGUGGCGAACGAGUGAGUAAUGCAUCGGAACGUGCCCAGUAGUGGGGGAUAGCCCGGCGAAAGCCGGAUUAAUACCGCAUACGACCUGAGGGUGAAAGCGGGGGACCGAAAGGCCUCGCGCUAUUGGAGCGGCCGAUGUCGGAUUAGCUAGUUGGUGGGGUAAAGGCUUACCAAGGCGACGAUCCGUAGCUGGUCUGAGAGGACGACCAGCCACACUGGGACUGAGACACGGCCCAGACUCCUACGGGAGGCAGCAGUGGGGAAUUUUGGACAAUGGGGGCAACCCUGAUCCAGCCAUGCCGCGUGCGGGAAGAAGGCCUUCGGGUUGUAAACCGCUUUUGUUCGGGAAGAAAUCCUCUGGGCUAAUACCCCGGGGGGAUGACGGUACCGGAAGAAUAAGCACCGGCUAACUACGUG